This 66-nucleotide transfer RNA is filed under the name Andraca theae. Its description in RNAcentral is "tRNA-Tyr". It matches the Rfam family "tRNA". Rfam says of the family: Transfer RNA (tRNA) molecules are approximately 80 nucleotides in length. Their secondary structure includes four short double-helical elements and three loops (D, anti-codon, and T loops). RNAcentral also lists the same sequence under 1 other name. The record is from RNAcentral. Lineage: Eukaryota; Metazoa; Arthropoda; Insecta; Lepidoptera; Endromidae.
AAUAAAAUGGCUGAGGAUAAGCGAUAAAUUGUAAAUUUAUUAACGGGGAAUAUUUCUCUUUUAUUA